RNA transcript from Aethina tumida (small hive beetle), 1442 nucleotides. It is a transcript of the gene named protein drumstick, with no coding region annotated. The record is from RefSeq and is a predicted model, not a curated record. NCBI's taxonomy places the organism in Eukaryota, Metazoa, Arthropoda, Insecta, Coleoptera, Nitidulidae. The transcript is spliced from 4 exons.
UAAAACUCAUUCAGCUACUCCCAGCACAAUUGUACAGAAGCAACAGUUUUCGACUACCUUCCGUAUGAGAAAGUUCACCUGCACCACACCGGACCAGCACUGAGAUUUAGCAGUUUUUUCCAACAGUCCACGACCAACAGCCAAGCCGAACACACAGAUUUCCGACCAGCAUCCGCCUUCGCUCCAGAUCCGAUCGACUGUAGUGAAUCCCUAAAAAAAAUUGCAACGGACGAUCCGAAUCCGACGACGCAGAUCAUCAUCGUGCCCGGUAACCAGCGAAUAAUAUAAAGCGCCACCGUCACCAUGUUCGCCAUUAUGCAGCUAGAUAACGACGUCAGUGGCAGGGAGUUCCGCAGGAAGAUGCGUGCCAAGUGCGAGUUCAUCUGCAAGUACUGCCAGCGCAGGUUCAACAAGCCCUACAACCUGAUGAUCCACGAGAGGACGCACAAAAGUCCGGAGCUGACUUUCAGCUGCGAGGUCUGCGGCAAGAGCUUCAAGCGUCAGGACAACCUCAAACAGCACAGAUGUAAUCAAUGCAUUUGGCGGUAAGGGGCUCCCCUCUGGGCACACAUUUGGGCCAACCCGGCUCUGUCUUCUUUAAUUGCAAUGACAAUUCAUUAUCCGUCAACACCGGCCUACAAUUGUUUUUCGAGAUACUGAAAAAAUCUUGGGAACAAUCAUUUAAUCACUUUCCGAAACAGUAUUCCACAUUAUUAAUUUAUUGUCUUUGCAUUUUUGUACAUACUUUAGUUAUUAUGGAAAUUUAUUAUUUAUAAAAACAUAGCGUGGCAUUUAAGUGAAUGGAGGAUGACAUGAAGAAGAAAUGAAAUUUUGCUUAGCCGUUUAUGUCGUUCUUCAAAAUUUAUUCUAAACACGAGGAGGACUAUCUGAAUGUCUAGUCUAUAUUCUGUACUUGAUCAAAUUCCGACAAAAUUUAUAGCGAUAUUCAAGAUUAUUUAAAUUAUAAAAAUAUUCAACUCAAAUAUAUAAUUAUUUUAGCAGAUAUGACAGGCAGUAUAUAAACAAAGUCGUACCCAUUUUUUUGGACAACAUUUAUCAACUUUUCGGUGAGAAUAUCGUUAUGAAUUUGGUACUUAGUGCAAUCAAAUCAUCUCACUUUUUUUAAUAUUUAUAUAAUUAUUUUAGAAUUUGUACAGUGAUUUUUUAUAUUAAAGUACUUUCUAAACAUGCUUACAAUUAUUAAUUCUUAGUAAAAUAUUAAGAAUGUACUAAUAUCUCAUUUUUUAUUGUAAAUUAUUUUAUUUUAACUGGUUAUAUUUUGCCAAUGCAAAAAAAUAAUUCAGUGGCUUUCCGUAAUAUUUAGAUGACAUUUGAUGCAAUAUAUUAAAAAUCAAGAAAUAUAUUUAGUUUUAUUUUAUUUAUUAACUUAGUUUUUGGCAUUGUACAUUAUUUUGCUCCAUUGAAAUAAAAAAUAGCACAUA